RNAcentral lists this long non-coding RNA (241 nucleotides) under Mytilus galloprovincialis (Mediterranean mussel). The record is from RNAcentral. Lineage: Eukaryota; Metazoa; Mollusca; Bivalvia; Mytilida; Mytilidae.
CAAGAAAAUACCGCAAACGAUCGCAGAGGAAUUGAAACGUACAAGUCAAGUCGGCACCUGGUUAAAUUGGCAUCUAGUCAAAUCGGCACCUAUUCGACGUCAAUUCGGCAUCCAAUAAUAUUUGUUAUAAUAUUUUCUAUUCAAUUAAUUAAUUACUGUUACCAAGUACAUAGUGAAUAUGUUGUUGUGUAUUUUGGUAAACAACGAAACGAAAGUGAAUAUGUUGUGUAUAAAGGUAAAC